UAGACCCAGCACCCAUAUGGGAUCCUGGCGCGUUCAAGCAGGGAAUUUGUGUGCCAUGUUCCUGUGGGUUCUGUUGUGACUGUAUAAUGAAUCUCUUGUGUAAGAUGAGUUUCUGGGAGAAAGAUAAUCACCUGAAAGAAUCUGCAGUGAAUGCUCCCAAGAUAACCAAGGCACUCCCAUAAGCAUGUGCUGGAUAAACCAAAGCAAAUACACUAAGAUGUUGUGCCCAACAUCAAAGACCAUUUUGAAGG
Ochotona curzoniae (black-lipped pika) is the source of this 251-nucleotide long non-coding RNA. RefSeq lists it as uncharacterized. The transcript has 3 exons. The record is from RefSeq and is a predicted model, not a curated record. NCBI's taxonomy places the organism in Eukaryota, Metazoa, Chordata, Mammalia, Lagomorpha, Ochotonidae.